GAUGAAGAACGCAGCGAAAUGCGAUAAGUAAUGUGAAUUGCAGAAUUCAGUGAAUCAUCGAAUCUUUGAACGCACAUUGCGCCCCCUGGUAUUCCGGGGGGCAUGCCUGUUCGAGCGUCAUUUCUCCACUCAAGCCUCGCUUGGUAUUGGGCAACGCGGUCCGCCGCGUGCCUCAAAUCGACCGGCUGGGUCUUCUGUCCCCUAAGCGUUGUGGAAACUAUUCGCUAAAGGGUGUUCGGGAGGCUACGCCGUAAAACAACCCCAUUUCUAAGGUUGACCUCGGAUCAGGUAGGGAUACCCGCUGAACUUAAGCAUAUCAAUAAGCGGAGGA
This 331-nucleotide unclassified non-coding RNA is filed under the name soil metagenome. RNAcentral's name for it is "partial contains 5.8S ribosomal RNA, internal transcribed spacer 2, and large subunit ribosomal RNA". The stretch from base 1 to 120 matches the Rfam family "5.8S ribosomal RNA", at positions 35 to 154 of the family's 154-position model. The record is from RNAcentral.